This is a long non-coding RNA of Mustela erminea (ermine), 451 nucleotides long. RefSeq lists it as uncharacterized. Lineage: Eukaryota; Metazoa; Chordata; Mammalia; Carnivora; Mustelidae. The transcript has 3 exons. The record is from RefSeq and is a predicted model, not a curated record.
ACCAGACAUGAUGCUUCCUGGAGGGAGGCAGUCUGCAGAGCUAUCUCCACGGAAGGCGAGAAAUGAAAGUUCUCAAAUCGACUUGCCCGAGAAGCCAGACGGAGCAGGGAGGCUCAUUCCUAAAUGACCUUCAGCAGCCGAUCCACCUUAGACGGGACACGUGGCCCAGGGAAGGCCCUGGCGUUCAGCCUCCGGGUUCCUCGGACCUGCUCUGCUUUUUCCGCGAUGCACUUGAACUACGAAGAAUGGAGGCUGCAGGUGUGGAAGUCUGAGGUUAGCCCUUUGCAUAUGCUGUCUCAUGGAGAUGUCAUGGUUUACCCUCUGAAUGUCCUUCUCGCCAUACUGCCGACGAGGACUUGAAGCUCAGAAAAGGUGCCUCCUUUGUGAAGCAAGAGAUGGGGAUGAGAUGUUGACAAGUGGGGGCAAAUGACUGCCUUUAAAAAUGGCAACA